UCAGGAUGAACGCUAGCUACAGGCUUAACACAUGCAAGUCGAGGGGCAUCACGUGAGGCAGCAAUGCAUCUGGGUGGCGACCGGCGAAUGGGUGAGUAACGAGUAUCCAACCUGGCCCAUACUCGGGCACAGCCCCGCGAAAGCGGGAUUAAUGCCCGAUGCGGCGUAUCUCCCGCAUGGGAAUUACGUCAAAGGUAUAAACUGGUAUGGGAUGGGGAUGCGUCCGAUUAGCUAGACGGCGGGGUAACGGCCCACCGUGGCGAUGAUCGGUAGGGGUUCUGAGAGGAAGGUCCCCCACAUUGGAACUGAGACACGGUCCAAACUCCUACGGGAGGCAGCAGUGAGGAAUAUUGGUCAAUGGCCGCAAGGCUGAACCAGCCAAGUAGCGUGAGGGAUGAACCUGCCCUAUGGGUCGUAAACCUCUUUUGCACGGGAAUAACCGCACCCACGCGUGGGUGCCUGCAUGUACCGUGCGAAUAAGCAUCGGCUAACUCCGUGCCAGCAGCAGC
Molecule: ribosomal RNA, 509 nt
Filed under: uncultured bacterium
Lineage: Bacteria
Description: bacterial SSU rRNA
Rfam family: Bacterial small subunit ribosomal RNA
Source: RNAcentral